GGGAGUACGGUCGCAAGGCUAAAACUCAAAGGAAUUGACGGGGGCCCGCACAAGCGGUGGAGUAUGUGGUUUAAUUCGAAGCAACGCGCAGAACCUUACCUACCCUUAACAUCCCGGGAAGUUUGCAGAGAUGUAAACGUCACUUCGGUGACUCGGAGAUAGGUGCUGCAUGGCUGUCGUCAGCUCGUGUCGUAAGAUGUCUGGUUAAGUCCAAUAACGAGCGCGACCCUUGCCCUUAGUUACCAUCAUUAAGUUGGGGACUCUAGGGGGACUGCCGGUGUUAAACCGGAGGAAGGCGGGGAUGACGUCAAGUCCUCAUGGCCCUUACGGGUAGGGCUACACACGUACUACAAUGGCAGGAACAAACUGUUGCGAAACCGUGAGGUGGAGCUAAUCGGUAAAACACUGUCUCAGUCCGGAUUGGAGUCUGCAACUCGACUCCAUGAAGUUGGAAUCGCUAGUAAUCGCUGAUCAGCAAGCAGCGGUGAAUACGUUCCCGGGCCUUGUACACACCGCCCGUCACACCACGAAAGUGGUCACAACCAGAAGUACGUGAGCUAACUUCGGAGGCAGCGUACCAAGGUUAUGGCCGUGAUUGGGGUGAAGUCGUAACAAGGUAACCAAGGG
RNAcentral lists this ribosomal RNA (627 nucleotides) under uncultured bacterium. RNAcentral's name for it is "bacterial SSU rRNA". It matches the Rfam family "Bacterial small subunit ribosomal RNA", at positions 876 to 1506 of the family's 1533-position model. The record is from RNAcentral.